AUUAUUUAGUUUAUCAAUUUAUAAAAACAAAUGUAUUGAAAACAUUAGAAAAGAAAGAUUCUUAAUAAUU
Molecule: transfer RNA, 70 nt
Filed under: Longpotamon yangtsekiense
Lineage: Eukaryota; Metazoa; Arthropoda; Malacostraca; Decapoda; Potamidae
Description: tRNA-Ser
Source: RNAcentral